CGAACAGAUUCUAGAUUACUUCUGGGCCUCUACCAAGGCAUGGGAAAGAACAAAGAAGCAGAACUAAUCCACAGUGAGAAAAAUAAAUUAUUCCGUUACAGGAAAAAGGUCCCUAUCCAGACUCCAAGAGAGGGUUCUUGGAUCUUGCACAAGAAAGAAUUCAGGGUGAGUCCAUAGAGUAAAGUGAAAGCAAAUGUAUUAAGAAAGUAGAGGAAUAAAAGAAUGGCUACUCCAUAGACAGAGCAGCCCUGUGGGCUGCUAGUUGCCCAUUUUUAUGGUUAUUUCUUGAUGAUAUGCUAAACAAGGGGUGGAUUAUUCAUGCCUUCCCUUUCUAGACCAUAUAGGGUAACUUCUAAUGUUGCCGUGGCAUUUGUAAACUGUCAUGGUGCUGAUGGGAGUGUAGCAGUGAGGAUGACCAGGGGUCAUGCUUGUGGCCAUCUUGGUUUUGAUGGAUUUUGGCUGGCUUCUUUACUGUAAGCUGUUUUAUCCCUUAGCCCUUAAUCCUAAACUUAAUCCUACUGAAAGGUAAGGAAUCUCAAGACUUUUAAAUUUUAUUUUCUCAAGCAUCAGUGAGGAAUCUCAAGCCUUUUUUAUUUUAUUUUUAUUUUUAUUUAUUUACUUAUUUAUUGAGACAGAGUCUCACUCUGUCAUCCAGGCUGGAGUACAGUGGCAUGAUCUCAGCUCACUGCAACCUCUGCCUCCUGGGCUCAAGCAAUUCUCCUGCCUUAGCCUCCUGAGUAGCUGGGAUUAUAGGCAUGUGC
This 761-nucleotide long non-coding RNA is filed under the name Pan troglodytes (chimpanzee). RNAcentral describes it as "long non-coding RNA NONPTRT013465". Lineage: Eukaryota; Metazoa; Chordata; Mammalia; Primates; Hominidae. The record is from RNAcentral.